AUUACUUAAGUAAAUUAAUUGUUUGUUUUCUGCAUUAGGGCCAUUCAUUGAGUUUGAAGAGAUAAAUUUGCUUGAGUUCUGGGGAGACACGGAUAAUCAGAAACACGUUUAUGAAGACUUUGAUGAAGUGUUCUUAAACAUGAAUGCAUUACUUUCUGAAAAAUAUAACAAAACCCUAAAUCAAUCAUUAGAGGACCCAAAAGAUCAACCAGAAUAUGAUGAGCAGAGGACAUCAACAGCACCACCACCUCCACCCGAACAACAAGAGGGAAAAAGUGCAGAUCUGGAGUCACCAAUAAUUUCAAAUGAAGAACAAGGCAGAGAGUUUAAUGCUGAGCAAAAAUUGUACAGAGAUGCAGUAAUAGAACAGGGACCUGACACAGAAUCAACUCUAGAACCAGAGUCAAAUAGAGAAUUAACAGAGGAACAUAGACCACAGAGAGGGUCAACUGCAGAGCAAGGGUCACGCAGAGAAUCAACUGCAGAACAAAGACCACAGAGAGGGUCAACUGCAGAGCAAGGGUCACGCAGAGAAUCAGCUGCAGAACAAAGACCACAGAGAGGGUCAGCUGCAGAGCAAGGGUCACGCAGAGAAUCAGCUGCAGAACAAAGACCACAGAGAGGGUCAGCUGCAGAGCAAGGGUCACGCAGAGAAUCAGCUGCAGAACAAAGAUCACAGAGAGGGUCAGCUGCAGAGCAAGGGUCACGCAGAGAAUCAGCUGCAGAACAAAGAUCACAGAGAGGGUCAACUGCAGAGCAAGGGUCACGCAGAGAAUCAACUGCAGAACAAAGACCACAGAGAGGUUCAGCUGCAGAGCAAGGGUCACGCAGAGAGUCAGUAAUGGAACAAGGACCAUACAGAGACUCAACUGCAGAGCAUGGGUCACGCAGAGCAUCAGCUGCAGAACAAAAAGUGCAAAGAGGGUCCACUGCAGAGCAAGAGUUACUCACAGAGUCAGUGGAAGAACCACACACCGAGUCAGAACAAAGACCACACAGAAAGACAACUUCAGAACAACAGGACGGAGUCGCAGCUUCACAAUCAGCAACAGGUGAAGUUUUGUCUUCUACCUGGAGGAUGAAGUAUGUCAAAUUCGAAGAUGAGGAACAAGCAAACUUAAUCUAUGGUAACUCCAGGUUCACAGGUACAUAUUAACAGUAAAACUAGGAAGCAUAAAUAGAAGUAUAUUAGGUGGUUUUAAUGUUCCAUGGUAUAUUGUGGUAAAGAGUGGAUUUUGCUGACACUAUCCCC
This 1252-nucleotide long non-coding RNA is filed under the name Cavia porcellus (domestic guinea pig). RNAcentral describes it as "lncRNA (ENSCPOG00000034013.1)". The record is from RNAcentral. Lineage: Eukaryota; Metazoa; Chordata; Mammalia; Rodentia; Caviidae.